This is a long non-coding RNA of Juglans microcarpa x Juglans regia, 691 nucleotides long. RefSeq lists it as uncharacterized. Lineage: Eukaryota; Viridiplantae; Streptophyta; Magnoliopsida; Fagales; Juglandaceae. The record is from RefSeq and is a predicted model, not a curated record. The transcript has 4 exons.
CAAAUUCCAAUCCUGCCUUGGAUUAUGAUUGUACCCUAAAUUGAUUUUAUUUGCCCACCGGGCUACCUUACCUUAUUUCCUCAUCCUUGAUUUGAAUCGCUAUACCAUUUGCCCUCGCGCACACCACCGUUGACCAACGCACCGAAACGUUCCGAGCUCAUACGGGCGAUUUGUCCAUCUUCCAGACGAUUCCUCGUCUCCUCCCUCUCUUUAGGUUUCGAGUCUGAUCUGAGUGUUCAUAGGUUUCGGAAGUUAUGAACUGGAUUCAGCGCAAGAUCUAUCUUUACAAUGUCACUUUUGGGCUCUACAUGUUGGAUUGGUGGGAGCGUUAUCUUUUCAAUACUUUGGUGAUCGUCUUGAUGUGGUUCAUUUUUUACAACGGAUCACGAUAUGUAACUGAGUUCUGCAAGAGGUGGGGUUGGCAUAUCAGAUAUGAUUGGCAGGAUUCAACGGCACGAAUGCAUGGGAUUUGAGAAUCUCUGCUAGCACGACUCAUUGCAUAUGUUUCUCUUCCUUCCUUCCUUCCUUCCUUCUGUUAUGUGUGACGAUCUUUGUUUUGCUUGUAUCAAUUCUUGGUUUCGAUGGAAUUGGCUUUUACUUCUUUAUAUUCCUUGAAGGCUUUGUUAUUUAUGCUUUCAAUUCAUAAGAUGAACGUACAUAUAACUUACAAUGUUACAAUCAUUUAGGAUCA